GGGGGAAGGGGUUAUCGUUCUGCUCACCCUGGGGUCUGGAGGAGGCCUUCAGCAAUUGUGUGUUGAAUGAAUGUGUGGGCAACAGGCUUGUUCCCUGUGUUUUUAUUGAAAUGUCUGCUUCCUGUGCUAGCGCCCCCACCCCCUUCUUAAAACACUGUCAUAGCACCUGCAUUCUUCCUUCUAACUCAUAUCAAUUGUAACUUAUUAUUUCCAUGACUAUCAUCAUGUCACGGUUUAGUGACUUCUGCCCCUUGAGGCCAUAAGCUCCUGGCAGGCAGGAACUGGGCACACAGUCACAUCCCCAACGCCAGAGGGCUGAGAGCUCAGCACAUAGUCUGACAGAUUAUGGCAUCUGAGGGCUCAGGAGCCUUACAGAUCCCAUCCCAUUCUUUUGAGGACUCCAUGGCCUGAAGAAGAGAGUGACUUACCUGAGGUCACACAGUCAGCUAGAAGCAAAGCGAAAUGAAAACAACUUUUCUAACACUUUUCUCCAAGGUCACAUCAUACACGACCCUGAGGAAGCCCCUUCUGAAUUCUGAGGUCUCUAAGCCUUGGGGAGCCUGUGGGGUGAUCCCAGGGAUCUCUUUCUCAGCAAUGAUGGUGAUGAGGAACUAAGUCUUUCCCCCUCACUUUAGGAUAAUGGAGUGAGCGGCGCUAAACUCGCACCGACAGAGCGGGCUCCCCCGGCCUUAAUGAGAUAAUCAAUACUUGUUCUCGGCUUAAUUUCCAUCUAAUUGCUCUUUAACGACGCCGGAUAAUGGGCCGCCUCCUGUGAGGAGAGAGCUGGCUGGGAAUCCGACCCGCCUCGGCCUCCCGCCCCUCCUCCCCCGGGCCGGUGCCCUCGCGCAGGUGGGAUGGGGGCGCACCACGCUCCCCGUCGGGGCUGGAGCUCCAUCCGCCAGCCUCCUCCCCCCGCGCCGCCGCCUGCCUGCGGUGUUCUCGGCUUGGAAUGCGGGAUCCCCGUCAAGCUGCCGGGGUCUGGCCUCUGGGCCACUCACCUGACUGGCCCGCGGAACUAGGCGGUGCCCUCGCCCCCUGACGGCGCCUCAUCCUCCCUGCUGCCCGCGGAGCCAGAAAAUUGUCUUCAAGAAAAAGUGAGGAGCUGGCCCAGUGGCGCAGCAGUUAAGUUCGCAAGUUCUGCUUCGGUGGCCUGGGGUUCAUCGCAUCGGAUCCCAGGUGCGGACAUGGCACCGCUUGGCAAGCCAUACUGUGGUACGCAUCCCACAUAAAAAGUAGAGGAAGAUGGGCGCAGAUGUUGGCUCAGGGCAAGUCUUCCUCAGCAAAAGGAGGAGGAGUG
RNAcentral lists this long non-coding RNA (1297 nucleotides) under Equus caballus (horse). RNAcentral's name for it is "lncRNA (ENSECAG00000045202.1)". Lineage: Eukaryota; Metazoa; Chordata; Mammalia; Perissodactyla; Equidae. The record is from RNAcentral.